This 486-nucleotide ribosomal RNA is filed under the name uncultured bacterium. RNAcentral describes it as "partial 16S ribosomal RNA". It matches the Rfam family "Bacterial small subunit ribosomal RNA", at positions 29 to 507 of the family's 1533-position model. The record is from RNAcentral.
AUUGAACGCUGGCGGCAUGCCUUACACAUGCAAGUCGAACGGCAGCACGGGUGCUUGCACCUGGUGGCGAGUGGCGAACGGGUGAGUAAUACAUCGGAACAUGUCCUGUAGUGGGGGAUAGCCCGGCGAAAGCCGGAUUAAUACCGCAUACGAUCUACGGAUGAAAGCGGGGGACCUUCGGGCCUCGCGCUAUAGGGUUGGCCGAUGGCUGAUUAGCUAGUUGGUGGGGGAAAGGCCUACCAAGGCGACGAUCAGUAGCUGGUCUGAGAGGACGACCAGCCACACGGGGACUGAGACACGGCCCAGACUCCUACGGGAGGCAGCAGUGGGGAAUUUUGGACAAUGGGCGAAAGCCUGAUCCAGCAAUGCCGCGUGUGUGAAGAAGGCCUUCGGGUUGUAAAGCACUUUUGUCCGGAAAGAAAUCCUUGGCCCUAAUACGGUCGGGGGAUGACGGUACCGGAAGAAUAAGCACCGGCUAACUACGUG